UACGGAGGGGGCUAGCGUUGUUCGGAAUUACUGGGCGUAAAGCGCACGUAGGCGGCUUUGUAAGUUAGAGGUGAAAGCCCGGGGCUCAACCCCGGAAUUGCCUUUAAGACUGCAUCGCUUGAACGUCGGAGAGGUGAGUGGAAUUCCGAGUGUAGAGGUGAAAUUCGUAGAUAUUCGGAAGAACACCAGUGGCGAAGGCGGCUCACUGGACGACUGUUGACGCUGAGGUGCGAAAGCGUGGGGAGCAAACAGGAUUAGAUACCCCCGUAGUCC
This 273-nucleotide ribosomal RNA is filed under the name uncultured bacterium. RNAcentral describes it as "partial 16S ribosomal RNA". It matches the Rfam family "Bacterial small subunit ribosomal RNA", at positions 524 to 796 of the family's 1533-position model. The record is from RNAcentral.